RNAcentral lists this ribosomal RNA (504 nucleotides) under uncultured bacterium. RNAcentral's name for it is "partial 16S ribosomal RNA". It matches the Rfam family "Bacterial small subunit ribosomal RNA", at positions 28 to 523 of the family's 1533-position model. The record is from RNAcentral.
GAUAAACGCUAGCGGCAGGCUUAACACGUGCAAGUCGAGGGGCAGCAUAGAUGGUAGCAAUACAAUUGGUGGCGACCGGCGCACGGGUGCGUAACGCGUAUGCAACCUACCCGUCACAGGGGGAUAAUCCGGAGAAAUCUGGUCUAAUACCCCAUAACAUAUGGAUCGGCAUCGGUUCAUGUUGAAAUUUUCGGAGGUGACGGAUGGGCAUGCGUAGCAUUAGCUUGUUGGUGAGGUAACGGCUCAGCAAGGCGACGAUGCUUAGGGGGACUGAGAGGUUUUCCCCCCACACUGGUACUGAGAGACGGACCAGACUCCAACGGGAGGAAGCAGUGAGGAAUAUUGGUCAAUGGGCGAAAGCCUGAACCAGCCAUGCCGCGUGCAGGAUGACGGCUCUAUGAGUUGUAAACUGCUUUUGUACGAGGGUAAAGUGGGUUACGUGUAACCUUUUGAAAGUAUCGUACGAAUAAGGAUCGGCUAACUCCGUGCCAGCCGCCGCCGUAA